GACGAACGCUGGCGGCGUGCCUAAUACAUGCAAGUUGAGCGCUGAAGGUUGGUACUUGUACCAACUGGAUGAGCAGCGAACGGGUGAGUAACGCGUGGGGAAUCUGCCUUUGAGCGGGGGACAACAUUUGGAAACGAAUGCUAAUACCGCAUAAAAACUUUAAACACAAGUUUUAAGUUUGAAAGAUGCAAUUGCAUCACUCAAAGAUGAUCCCGCGUUGUAUUAGCUAGUUGGUGAGGUAAAGGCUCACCAAGGCGAUGAUACAUAGCCGACCUGAGAGGGUGAUCGGCCACAUUGGGACGGAGACACGGCCCAAACUCCUACGGGGGGCAGCAGUAGGGAAUCUUCGGCAAUGGACGAAAGUCUGACCGAGCAACGCCGCGUGAGUGAAGAAGGUUGUCGGAUCGUAAAACUCUGUUGGUAGAGAAGAACGUUGGUGAGAGUGGAAAGCUCAUCAAGUGACGGUAACUACCCAGAAAGGGACGGCUAACUACGUG
RNAcentral lists this ribosomal RNA (497 nucleotides) under uncultured bacterium. RNAcentral describes it as "partial 16S ribosomal RNA". It matches the Rfam family "Bacterial small subunit ribosomal RNA", at positions 28 to 507 of the family's 1533-position model. The record is from RNAcentral.